AUCAACUUUCGAUGGUAGGAUAGAGGCCUACCAUGGUGGUAACGGGUAACGGGGUGUUAGGGCACGACACCGGAGAGGGAGCCUGAGAAACGGCUACCACAUCCAAGGAUGGCAGCAGGCGCGCAAAUUACCCAAUCCCGACACGGGGAGGUAGUGACAAUAAAUAACAAUACGGGGUUCUUUCGGAUUUCGUAAUUGGAAUGAGUACAAUUUAAAUCUCUUAACGAGGAACAAUUGGAGGGCAAGUCUGGUGCCAGCAGCCGCGGUAAUUCCAGCUCCAAUAGCGUAUAUUAAAGUUGUUGCAGUUAAAAAGCUCGUAGUUGAAUUUCGGGAUCGACGGGUCGGUCGCGCCUCUGGUGUGUACUGGCCCUGUCGGUUCCUCCCUUCUGACGAACCACGAUGUCAUUAAUUUGGUGUCGUGGGAAAUCAGGACUGUUACUUUGAAAAAAUUAGAGUGUUUAAAGCAAGCAUUCGCUUGAAUACAUUAGCAUGGAAUAAUGAAAUAGGACGUUUGAUCUUAUUUUGUUGGUUUCUAAGAUCGACGUAAUGAUUAAUAGGGAUAGUUGGGGGCAUUAGUAUUCAAUUGUCAGAGGUGAAAUUCUUGGAUUUAUUGAAGACUAACUACUGCGAAAGCAUUUGCCAAGGAUGUUUUCAUUAAUCAAGAACGAAAGUUAGGGGAUCGAAGACGAUCAGAUACCGUCGUAGUCUUAACCAUAAACUAUGCCGACUAGGGAUCGGAUGAUGUUAAUUUUUUAAUGACUCAUUCGGCGCCUUACGGGAAACCAAAGUGUUUGGGUUC
RNAcentral lists this ribosomal RNA (799 nucleotides) under uncultured Glomus. Its description in RNAcentral is "SSU rRNA". It matches the Rfam family "Eukaryotic small subunit ribosomal RNA", at positions 314 to 1114 of the family's 1831-position model. The record is from RNAcentral. Lineage: Eukaryota; Fungi; Glomeromycota; Glomeromycetes; Glomerales; Glomeraceae.